UGUAGCAUGGAUACAGGGUGGGUGUAUGGAGGUACUGUAGCAUGGACACAGGGUGUGUGUAUGGAGGUACUGUAGCAUGGACACAGGGUGGGUGUAUGGAGGUACUGUAGCAUGGAUACAGGGUGUGUGUAUGGAGGUACUGUAGCAUGGACACAGGGUGUGUGUAUGGAGGUACUGUAGCAUGGACACAGGCUGGGUGUAUGGAGGUACUGUAGCAUGGACACAGGGUGUGUGUAUGGAGGUACUGUAGCAUGGACACAGGGUGGGUGUAUGGAGGUACUGU
Oncorhynchus keta (chum salmon) is the source of this 283-nucleotide long non-coding RNA. RefSeq lists it as uncharacterized. The transcript has 5 exons. Lineage: Eukaryota; Metazoa; Chordata; Actinopteri; Salmoniformes; Salmonidae. The record is from RefSeq and is a predicted model, not a curated record.